Molecule: ribosomal RNA, 1060 nt
Filed under: Salmonella enterica subsp. enterica serovar Weslaco str. 247K
Lineage: Bacteria; Pseudomonadati; Pseudomonadota; Gammaproteobacteria; Enterobacterales; Enterobacteriaceae
Description: bacterial SSU rRNA
Rfam family: Bacterial small subunit ribosomal RNA
Source: RNAcentral
UUAAAUUGAAGAGUUUGAUCAUGGCUCAGAUUGAACGCUGGCGGCAGGCCUAACACAUGCAAGUCGAACGGUAACAGGAAGCAGCUUGCUGCUUUGCUGACGAGUGGCGGACGGGUGAGUAAUGUCUGGGAAACUGCCUGAUGGAGGGGGAUAACUACUGGAAACGGUGGCUAAUACCGCAUGACGUCGCAAGACCAAAGAGGGGGACCUUCGGGCCUCUUGCCAUCAGAUGUGCCCAGAUGGGAUUAGCUUGUUGGUGAGGUAACGGCUCACCAAGGCGACGAUCCCUAGCUGGUCUGAGAGGAUGACCAGCCACACUGGAACUGAGACACGGUCCAGACUCCUACGGGAGGCAGCAGUGGGGAAUAUUGCACAAUGGGCGCAAGCCUGAUGCAGCCAUGCCGCGUGUAUGAAGAAGGCCUUCGGGUUGUAAAGUACUUUCAGCGGGGAGGAAGGUGUUGUGGUUAAUAACCACAGCAAUUGACGUUACCCGCAGAAGAAGCACCGGCUAACUCCGUGCCAGCAGCCGCGGUAAUACGGAGGGUGCAAGCGUUAAUCGGAAUUACUGGGCGUAAAGCGCACGCAGGCGGUCUGUCAAGUCGGAUGUGAAAUCCCCGGGCUCAACCUGGGAACUGCAUUCGAAACUGGCAGGCUUGAGUCUUGUAGAGGGGGGUGGAAUUCCAGGUGUAGCGGUGAAAUGCGUAGAGAUCUGGAGGAAUACCGGUGGCGAAGGCGGCCCCCUGGACAAAGACUGACGCUCAGGUGCGAAAGCGUGGGGAGCAAACAGGAUUAGAUACCCUGGUAGUCCACGCCGUAAACGAUGUCUACUUGGAGGUUGUGCCCUUGAGGCGUGGCUUCCGGAGCUAACGCGUUAAGUAGACCGCCUGGGGAGUACGGCCGCAAGGUUAAAACUCAAAUGAAUUGACGGGGGCCCGCACAAGCGGUGGAGCAUGUGGUUUAAUUCGAUGCAACGCGAAGAACCUUACCUGGUCUUGACAUCCACGGAAGUUUUCAGAGAUGAGAAUGUGCCUUCGGGAACCGUGAGACAGGUGCUGCAUGG